Molecule: ribosomal RNA, 494 nt
Filed under: uncultured bacterium
Lineage: Bacteria
Description: partial 16S ribosomal RNA
Rfam family: Bacterial small subunit ribosomal RNA
Source: RNAcentral
GACGAACGCUGGCGGCGUGCUUAACACAUGCAAGUCGAACGGUGAAGCGCCUUCCUUUUUGGUGGGUGUGGAUGAGUGGCGAACGGGUGAGUAACACGUGAGUAACCUGCCCCCUUCUUCUGGAUAACCGCAUGAAAGUGUGGCUAAUACGGGAUAUUCUGGGUCUGUCGCAUGAUGGGUCUGGGAAAGAUAUUGUUUCGGUGGGGGAUGGGCUCGCGGCCUAUCAGCUUGUUGGUGGGGUGAUGGCCUACCAAGGCGGUGACGGGUAGCCGGCCUGAGAGGGUGGACGGUCACACUGGGACUGAGACACGGCCCAGACUCCUACGGGAGGCAGCAGUGGGGAAUAGUGCACAAUGGGCGCAAGCCUGAUGCAGCGACGCCGCGUGAGGGAUGGAGGCCUGCGGGUUGUGAACCUCUUUCGCCAGUGAAGUAGGCCUGCCUCGUGUGUGGGUGGGUUGACGGUAGCUGGAUAAGAAGCGCCGGCUAACUACGUG